Molecule: long non-coding RNA, 273 nt
Organism: Drosophila innubila
Lineage: Eukaryota; Metazoa; Arthropoda; Insecta; Diptera; Drosophilidae
Exons: 3
Source: RefSeq, a predicted model, not a curated record
CAAACAGCUGUGGCGAACGGAACUACAAAACACUACAACAAAAGACGACGGAAAUCCACAACAUAAACAACAAAACCUGCAAUAAACUACAAAACGGAUCCCGGUUCCGGACCCAGGCGUACCCGCCCUGCCUGAGAUGACCACCUCAACGUCAUCUCCCUCAUGUUGGCCACCGAAUGGACCUACUUCAUCCUGUGUUGACCAUCGUGUUUCUCCCUCCCCCUACAGCAAUAAUUACUCGGGCAUUUUCAUCAUCAGGUAUGUGUGUAUCAA